UCGAACUGGAGAGUUUGAUCCUGGCUCAGAGCGAACGCUAGUGGCGGGCUUAACACAUGCAAGUCGAGCGCUUCACUUCGGUGAAGAGCGGCGGACGGGUGAGUAACACGUAGGUUACCUACCCUUUGGUGGGGGAUAACCCAGGGAAACUUGGGCUAAUACCGCAUAUGGACUACGGUUCAAAGUCUUCGGACGCCAGAGGAGGGGCCUGCGGCCCAUUAUUUAAUCCUUGUUGGUGAGGUAAUGGCUCACCAAGGGUACGAUGGGUAGCUGGUCUGAGAGGAUGAUCAGCCACACUGGGACUGAGACACGGCCCAGAC
RNAcentral lists this ribosomal RNA (320 nucleotides) under Pseudomonadota bacterium. Its description in RNAcentral is "bacterial SSU rRNA". It matches the Rfam family "Bacterial small subunit ribosomal RNA", at positions 1 to 336 of the family's 1533-position model. The record is from RNAcentral. Lineage: Bacteria; Pseudomonadati; Pseudomonadota.